Molecule: long non-coding RNA, 695 nt
Filed under: Nicotiana tabacum (common tobacco)
Lineage: Eukaryota; Viridiplantae; Streptophyta; Magnoliopsida; Solanales; Solanaceae
Description: long non-coding RNA (NTAB_LNC005433)
Source: RNAcentral
AUUUAGGUAAGAUAGCAAAAGUUAUAUAAAACUUACACGGUAAUCCCGUAUUUCAGAUCAAAUUCUCAUAACUAGCAUUUAAUAUCAUAACAAAAUAACAAGCUUCAGACGCGUCUGAACAAACACGUCUAAACUUAACAAAGAUCUUCUGCAUCUUAAAUCUAAACAAUUUUGGGUUAAUGUUUGCAUCAUUGACAGCAAAAUAAUAAACACAAUAAUAAUACAACUCCUUUGAUGAAAGAGACGCUUGGGAUACCCAGAAUUUUCCAUUGAAAAGACAAGGUUUAUUCAUCCACAAGGAAAAAUAUUACAAGACGGCUCCUAUUUCUAAGAAGCUGCAAAGAAGAAUUCUCAUUUUCUCUUUUCCUCGUAUUCUUUUGACACGCUCAUGCGUUAACUUCCAAUAGCUUCAUACAGAUAUUUGAUCUGCACCCUAAUAUUCAUUCUGCAGGCUGCACAGCAACAACACGUUCAUAAAAAUUUUACCGUUAGAGAGAUUAAUUAGCAUCUCAAUUUAGUUACAUCCAAGUCAAACUUGCAGCAGUUCGAUACCAAAGUUAUCUGGAAUUCCCUAGGCAGACCAGCUUAAUCUGACCUUUGCCUCAGCUGAAAUCCCUUGCAGACCUUUGCUCUUAACAUCCAAUUGCAUACAGUCGAUUCAUCAUACAAUAGAAGUUUAUUCGCCCCUGAAGUCA